This 503-nucleotide ribosomal RNA is filed under the name uncultured bacterium. RNAcentral describes it as "partial 16S ribosomal RNA". It matches the Rfam family "Bacterial small subunit ribosomal RNA", at positions 30 to 523 of the family's 1533-position model. The record is from RNAcentral.
AUUGAACGCUGGCGGCAGGCUUAACACAUGCGAGUCGAGCGGGGUGAUGGUGCUUGCACUAUCACUUAGCGGCGGACGGGUGAGUAAUGCUUAGGAAUCUGCCUAUUAGUGGGGGACAACAUCUCGAAAGGGAUGCUAAUACCGCAUACGUCCUACGGGAGAAAGCAGGGGAUCACUUGUGACCUUGCGCUAAUAGAUGAGCCUAAGUCGGAUUAGCUAGUUGGUGGGGUAAAGGCCUACCAAGGCGACGAUCCGUAGCGGGUCUGAGAGGAUGAUCCGCCACACUGGGAAUUGGGCACGGCCCAGACUCCUACGGGAGGCAGGAGUGGGGAAGAUUGGACAAUGGGGGGAAUCCUGAUCCAGCCAUGCCGCGUGUGGGAAGAAGGCCUUAUGGUUGUAAAGCACUUUAAGCGAGGAAGAGGCUCUUUUGGUUAAUACCCAGGAUGAGUGGACGUUACUCGCAGAAUAAGCACCGGCUAACUCUGUGCCAGCAGCCGCCGUAA